This 229-nucleotide ribosomal RNA is filed under the name Rossellomorea oryzaecorticis. RNAcentral describes it as "Bacillus oryzaecorticis partial 16S ribosomal RNA". It matches the Rfam family "Bacterial small subunit ribosomal RNA", at positions 1151 to 1389 of the family's 1533-position model. Lineage: Bacteria; Bacillati; Bacillota; Bacilli; Caryophanales; Bacillaceae. The record is from RNAcentral.
GCCGGGACAAACGGAGGAAGGGGGGACGACGUCAAUCAUCAGCCCAUGUGACCUGGGCUACACACGUGUACAAUGGACGGUACAAAGGGCAGCGAGACCGCGAGGUUUAGCCAUCCCAUAAAACCGUUUCAGUUCGGAUUGUAGGCUGCAACUCGCCUACAGAAGCUGGAAUCGCUAGUAAUCGCGGAUCAGCAUGCCGAGGUGAAUACGUUCCCGGGCCUUGUACACA